RNAcentral lists this ribosomal RNA (662 nucleotides) under Dietzia sp. Its description in RNAcentral is "bacterial SSU rRNA". It matches the Rfam family "Bacterial small subunit ribosomal RNA", at positions 183 to 858 of the family's 1533-position model. The record is from RNAcentral. Lineage: Bacteria; Bacillati; Actinomycetota; Actinomycetes; Mycobacteriales; Dietziaceae.
CUGCCGCAUGGUGGGGGUUGGAAAGUUUUUCGGUGCAGGAUGAGCCCGCGGCCUAUCAGCUUGUUGGUGGGGUAAUGGCCUACCAAGGCGACGACGGGUAGCCGGCCUGAGAGGGUGAUCGGCCACACUGGGACUGAGACACGGCCCAGACUCCUACGGGAGGCAGCAGUGGGGAAUAUUGCACAAUGGGCGGAAGCCUGAUGCAGCGACGCCGCGUGGGGGAUGACGGUCUUCGGAUUGUAAACCCCUUUCAGUAGGGACGAAGCGCAAGUGACGGUACCUGCAGAAGAAGCACCGGCCAACUACGUGCCAGCAGCCGCGGUAAUACGUAGGGUGCGAGCGUUGUCCGGAAUUACUGGGCGUAAAGAGCUCGUAGGCGGUUUGUCGCGUCGUCUGUGAAAUCCUCCAGCUUAACUGGGGGCGUGCAGGCGAUACGGGCAGACUUGAGUACUACAGGGGAGACUGGAAUUCCUGGUGUAGCGGUGAAAUGCGCAGAUAUCAGGAGGAACACCGGUGGCGAAGGCGGGUCUCUGGGUAGUAACUGACGCUGAGGAGCGAAAGCAUGGGUAGCGAACAGGAUUAGAUACCCUGGUAGUCCAUGCCGUAAACGGUGGGCRCUAGGUGUGGGGGUCUUCCACGACUUCCGUGCCGUAGCUAACCGC